Non-coding RNA from Python bivittatus (Burmese python), 2814 nucleotides. The record is from RefSeq and is a predicted model, not a curated record. NCBI's taxonomy places the organism in Eukaryota, Metazoa, Chordata, Lepidosauria, Squamata, Pythonidae.
ACCAGUUAGACUUGUUUGGGAUAAUUAUGCCCAUGAGCAGAAACACGAUUUUCAGUUCAGUUUUUCACUGAGAGACUUUUCCCUAGACGGGAGGAUAACUUUAUGUCUUUAAGUUUCUAGGUCUGCAGUGCACCAGAGCAAUGUUCUUUGAAAGGGUUUCAGCUGGCUUUGACAUUUACUAGCAAAGCUGGCAUAAAGACAGAUUCCUGGGGCUGUCCAGCAGGUAUUCUGAAUAUAUACCAUCUCAUUUGAUAGAAAUGGCCUUUUCCUGCUGCUUCACCUGUUGCCCCUUGUUCCCAGGUCCUUCAAGAGAGAGGGAACCUCUGAAUGCCCAGCACUCAAGAAAACGUCAAGACAUCAGAAAUGUUCAUUUCAGCAAAGGGAAACCGCUUACCAUGAAACGAGUCAACAUACCUGAGAUUGAUGCACUGUUCAACAGCAUUGCUGAGACUUUCAAUAAGCAGCAAGAUGAUUGCCUGUCUCUCCGGGAAGCUAUGCAGAACUUAAAGGAUUCCUAUGACUGUUCCCCUGCAAGCAGUUUUUCUGUAUGCAUAGAGAAGAUCUUGCAGGAACAUAGUGCUUACCAUGUGCAGGUGUGUAUGGAAGGAUACAGGUUUUGGCUAGAUGUGGGAGCAAAGGAAGUCCCUGAGAAACUGAAGCAGACUCAGCAGCAGGUGGGAAAGCUGAACUUUGCCACCAAAGGAAUCGUUAGUACAACAGUACAGGAAAUGAUCCACUCAGUUCAUCAGAGCCAGGACAAUUUGAUGGAAAACGUGAGAAACUCAUCACCUGAAUACCUAGACUGGCUACGUCUAGAAAACAACCUGAAAGAAAAUAUUGGGAAGAUAAAUCAAGCACAGAGGUUUUCAGAGCAGCACAAAGAAGAAGCUCAUUGUGUGCUGAUGGAUAUGGCAAAAUCAGCGAACGCGACUCUGUAAAGAGAAUGAGAAAGUUGCAUUCUACUUUUCUUACCUGAAAGAUGCAUCAAGCUGCUUGCAACAAAAAAUCCUGCAGAAUAUGAUUUGGCUACACAAGUUAUGCUACAUCUAGAUGUUAAAAUAUAUCCAGAGAUGUCUUAUGGAAGUGCCACAUGCCCAUGGUCUCCAGAAAAUCUUGAUGUUUUCUGAACACAAAUCUUAAAUGUUCAUGGGAAAGCCAUGCUAACGAAUAGAAGAACUGAUGAAUGCUUUAUGACAUUGUCACAAUGAAAAGAUCUUUCUGAAAAGUAUAUUCUCAUAUCCCAAGAUCGAAAACACCUAAGAUAGCUCUUCUUAAUUUCAUAUGCAGAGCAAUAAAGACAGGAGUCUAGUAAGGUAAAGUUCUGAUCUCUCCCUUUUUUGACUAUGCCUGCUUCUCCCAAAUGACUGAGAAACAAUAAUAACAAGAUUUUUCAAGAACUGCAAAAGCAGAAAAGGGGUUAUAGUUAAGUAAUAUAUUUCGGGCCUGCGACUGGUGCAUGGUGUAAGUUACUUUUGCCACUGGUGACUGUUUAUUAUGUUUGUCUGGUUGCCUGGGGAACCAGCUCACACCGUUUCACUCAUUUUAUAAUGUUCCUGUAAAUGUUAGGUAGGGCUGGGAUUUAUUAUGCACUGUCAACACCUCAAAUGGAACGCGCCACUGAGCUCCACUUACUUGGCAAGGUGCCCCUGUUUGCUCCUUUUUUUUUUUUCCCCUUCUUCAAUAAUUUUAAAAUAAAAAAUUAGCCUUAGGCAUCCAGAUUUCUACUGUUCAUGUAAUCCAGGGUAUGUUUCUGCUUGCAUAUGUACAUCUUUCCAGCAAAACUAUAGGUGGUCAGAUUCUCAGUGGAGCCAUUGGUUGGAGGAGAACUGAUGCAGAAUUGGUCAAGAGAACAAGCAAGUGAGCAAGCCAACUCCCACUGAAUGGAAUCUGUGACUGACUUACAAUUUGCGAGAGGUAACAUUUUAGGGGAAAGAGGUAGGAACAUGUUUACUGAGGGUGUUUCUCAUCCAAACACAGUAUGACCCCAUCACCAUCAACUCAACAGCUCCUGUUGAUUCAGAAGAGGAAUAAUAUAGAUUAUUAUGACCAGUAUAUGAUGUUUUUAUUUUCCUUCUUCAUUCCCACAGAAGAGUAGACAUAUUUGAUUGGUAUCAGGCACAGUAGACUUCUUUGGGAAGAUGGGACCGACCUGGGAUAAACAUAGAAUGAAAUACAGAAAUGGCAUUAAAAAGUGACCUUUCCCCAUUGCUUAGCUGAACUGGUAUCCAUCCAUCCUUGAGUCAGUAGAAAACUACUAGCAUUAACUAUGCUGUCCUCUUUGCCACUCCCUAUCCUAUAUUCUCUAUUUCAAGGCCCUGCAGUCCUCCCUGGACUUCCUCCAAAGUAACGGGUGAUAGAGUCUAAGUCAGCUGUUGAACACUGCUGGAAUAAAGGAAGAGGGACUACUUACACUGAUACUGCUGUGGCUACUAAGGAUGGCUGGUACUGCUAAGGAUGACUUAUGCUUAUUACAUCCACAAGAAGCAGAGCCCAGUUUGUGCUGACUGCUUUCUAAGCAAAAUUCUGGCACUGGGUGAGAGAAUGGAAAGAAAACACACAGACUGAGUUGCAGAGGAGCGUUAGGAGGACUCACCAAAGCACUUGUUGGCCAAGAUCUGAUUAAAACUGCAAGAAGCCAAGAUUCUGUGCUGAAAGUCUCUCAAAUGUAGUUUGAAACAAUCUGGAAUCAUGUUGACAUCUGACCUUAAAACAAGGAACAAAGAAUACCAUUUAAUCACUACCUCACCCCAAGAUGCCACUACAAGAUGCCACUACAAUAACACAAAUCUUAGUCCCACUCCAUGAAAAAGGAAA